This 138-nucleotide small nucleolar RNA is filed under the name Echinops telfairi (small Madagascar hedgehog). The record is from RNAcentral. Lineage: Eukaryota; Metazoa; Chordata; Mammalia; Afrosoricida; Tenrecidae.
GACAGGAACCGCAUCUGGAGACUAGCCAGUGUUCUGCCGGCUUCAGAGACGGCAGGGACGCCAAGCUUGUCGUUCGGAGCCCCAUUCCAGUUGCAGUCUGCUCAGUAGCUGCUGAUCAGAAGAGACCCUGGGAAGGAA